Molecule: ribosomal RNA, 253 nt
Filed under: uncultured bacterium
Lineage: Bacteria
Description: partial 16S ribosomal RNA
Rfam family: Bacterial small subunit ribosomal RNA
Source: RNAcentral
CACGUAGGGGGCAAGCGUUGUCCGGAUUUAUUGGGCGUAAAGAGCUCGUAGGCGGUUUCGUAAGUCGGAUGUGAAAACUCCAGCUCAACUUGGAGACGCCAUUCGAUACUGCGAUGACUUGAGUCCGGUAGGGGAGUGUGGAAUUCCUGGUGUAGCGGUGAAAUGCGCAGAUAUCAGGAAGAACACCAAUGGCGAAGGCAGCUCUCUGGGACGGUACUGACGCUGAGACGCGAAAGCGUGGGGAGCGAACAGG